Merluccius polli (Benguela hake) is the source of this 66-nucleotide non-coding RNA. NCBI's taxonomy places the organism in Eukaryota, Metazoa, Chordata, Actinopteri, Gadiformes, Merlucciidae. The record is from the annotation of a GenBank genome assembly.
UAGCUCAACAAAGCGUGGCAUUUACGUUGCCAGGGUUAGGGGUUCGAUUCCCACUGGGAACACCCA